Molecule: ribosomal RNA, 253 nt
Filed under: uncultured Eubacteriales bacterium
Lineage: Bacteria; Bacillati; Bacillota; Clostridia; Eubacteriales
Description: uncultured Clostridiales bacterium partial 16S ribosomal RNA
Rfam family: Bacterial small subunit ribosomal RNA
Source: RNAcentral
UACAUAGGGGGCAAGCGUUAUCCGGAAUUAUUGGGUGUAAAGGGUGCGUAGACGGGAAAAUAAGUUAGUUGUGAAAUCCCACGGCUCAACUGUGGAACUGCAACUAAAACUGUUUUUCUUGAGUAUCGGAGAGGAAAGUGGAAUUCCUAGUGUAGCGGUGAAAUGCGUAGAUAUUAGGAGGAACACCAGUGGCGAAGGCGACUUUCUGGACAGAAACUGACGUUGAGGCACGAAAGUGUGGGGAGCAAACAGG